UACGGAAGGCAGCAGUGGGGAAUAUUGCACAAUGGGCGCAAGCCUGAUGCAGCCAUGCCGCGUGUAUGAAGAAGGCCUUCGGGUUGUAAAGUACUUUCAGUCGUGAGGAAGGUGUUAAGGUUAAUAACCUUAGCAAUUGACGUUAGCGACAGAAGAAGCACCGGCUAACUCCGUGCCAGCAGCCGCGGUAAUACGGAGGGUGCGAGCGUUAAUCGGAAUUACUGGGCUAAAGGGCACGCAGGCGGUUAAUUAAGUUGGAUGUGAAAUCCCCGGGCUUAACCUGGGAAUGGCAUUCAAGACUGGUUAGCUAGAGUCUUGUAGAGGGGGUAGAAUUCCAUGUGUAGCGGUGAAAUGCGUAGAGAUGUGGAGGAAUACCGGGUGGCGAAGGCGGCCCCUGGGACAAAGGACUGACGCUCAUGUGCGAAAGCGUGGGGAGCAAAACAGGAUUAGAUACC
This 455-nucleotide ribosomal RNA is filed under the name uncultured bacterium. RNAcentral's name for it is "bacterial SSU rRNA". It matches the Rfam family "Bacterial small subunit ribosomal RNA", at positions 340 to 786 of the family's 1533-position model. The record is from RNAcentral.